RNAcentral lists this ribosomal RNA (468 nucleotides) under uncultured bacterium. Its description in RNAcentral is "partial 16S ribosomal RNA". The stretch from base 58 to 468 matches the Rfam family "Bacterial small subunit ribosomal RNA", at positions 39 to 507 of the family's 1533-position model. The record is from RNAcentral.
GGGGGGGGGGGGGGGGGGGGGGGGGGGGGGGGGGGGGGGGGGGGGGGGCGGGGGGGGGGGGGGUGCGCGGGGGGCGGGGGGGGGGGGGAGACGGGGGUAACGGGGCGGGGACGGUGGGAGGACUGCGGGAAGCGGGGGCUAGGAACGGAGAGGAGCUCCGUCUGCCUUGUGGGUGGGGGAAAGGUUCGGCGGUUGGGAAUGGACUCGCGGCUUACCAGCUUGUUGGUGGGGUAGUGGCUUACCAGGGCUGUGACGGGUAGCCGGCCUGAGAGGGUGACCGGCCACAUUGGGACUGAGAUACGGCCCAGACUCCUACGGGAGGCAGCAGUGGGGAAUAUUGCACGAUGGGCGGAAGCCUGAUGCAGCAACGCCGCGUGCGGGAUGACGGCCUUCGGGUUGUAAACCGCUUUCGCCUGUGACGAAGCGUGAGUGACGGUAAUGGGUAAAGAAGCACCGGCUAACUACGUG